Dalotia coriaria is the source of this 1032-nucleotide long non-coding RNA. RefSeq lists it as uncharacterized. The transcript is spliced from 3 exons. The record is from RefSeq and is a predicted model, not a curated record. Lineage: Eukaryota; Metazoa; Arthropoda; Insecta; Coleoptera; Staphylinidae.
CAACACGUUUCCAAUUAAAAUCGAAUGCGCGUCAUGCGCAUUUAACGAAUUCGAUUACACGCAUUGUUCGAACGAUAAUUUGCAAGUAAUUACGUCAAACUUGAAAUAGAAAUAAACAGCGAAUUAAAAAUAAACUCUCUGUUAUGACAACGUCACUCAUAAUAUCGGUUUGUGUUGUGUGGUGUUUAGUUAGUGGUAGUUCAACGGCUCAAUGUCAUAACUUAACCUUGUGAAUACGUGUGGGGUGGACAGGUGUAAACCUUCCGGAAGCCAUUAUGUGGGGCGCUGCAAGGAAGGACGAUGCACAAGGCUAAAACACAACAAAGAAACAUUUUAUUAUCGACCACGCUAUAAAUUACAUUAUAAGAUUUUAUAAAAUUAUAUCAACACUCAUUUGAUGAUGUUGAUAGUAAUAACAAAAUGACCCAGUUGUACAACGCUAAAAAGUGCACACGCAAAGAUCGCAAUAAAGUCCUUCCUGUUUGCGUUCCUGUCGCGCGUGGUCGCAGGGAAAGUUUCAAUGUCAUUACCUUCCGGAAAUUCAACAGCGCAACACAAGGACGUUGCAAGGCUGCAGGCGGUGGAAAACUAUCGAUCCGUUAUUUACCAUUUUGUUUCGACCAUGAAAUUGUAUUUUGCGUGCUACGCUACUGAUUAUACAACCUUGAAAAAAGAAAAUAAAUCAAAUUGUUUGGCGUUUGUGGUUUUUCUUGAAAUCGUGUACUGAGAUUGGAGGCGUUUGUAGCCGUUGAUAUUCGCGAUUAAGUAAAUAUUUAAGCAAACUUUAGCGUUCGCUCUGAGGCCGUGUUUGCUUGUUUGUCGUUCGGGGCGAACGUGUUCGGCGCGUCGUGAAUAUGCUCGCGAACGGCAUAUCAACAAAAUAUUAUCGGGUAGCAAAAGGAACAAGUAUACGGAAAGCAAACACUAAUAUAUAUGUGCGUUCUAACCUUCAAAUUGGCAAGAUAUGUGGUUCACAAUCAUAUAAAAUUCAGGUUAGUUAAAAAAUUGUCUGUUUUUUACAUUUAAUAGUUA